CCUACGGGUGGCAGCAGUGAGGAAUAUUGGUCAAUGGACGCGAGUCUGAACCAGCCAAGUAGCGUGAAGGAUGACUGCCCUACGGGUUGUAAACUUCUUUUAUAAAGGAAUAAAACGAGGCACGUGUGCCUUUUUGUAUGUACUUUAUGAAUAAGAAUCGGCUAACUCCGUGCCAGCAGCCGCGGUAAUACGGAGGAUCCGAGCGUUAUCCGGGUUUAUUGGGUUUAAAGGGAGCGUAGAUGGGUUGUUAAGUCAGUUGUGAAAGUUUGCGGCUCAACCGUAAAAUUGCAAUUGAUACUGGCAGUCUUGAGUACAGUUGAGGUAGGCGGAAUUCGUGGUGUAGCGGUGAAAUGCUUAGAUAUCACGAAGAACCCCGAUUGCGAAGGCAGGUGACCAAGCUGCGACUGACAUUGAGGCUCGAAAGUGUGGGUAUCAAACAGGAUUAGAUACCCGAGUAGUC
This 460-nucleotide ribosomal RNA is filed under the name uncultured bacterium. Its description in RNAcentral is "partial 16S ribosomal RNA". It matches the Rfam family "Bacterial small subunit ribosomal RNA", at positions 338 to 795 of the family's 1533-position model. The record is from RNAcentral.